RNAcentral lists this ribozyme (64 nucleotides) under Brevibacillus phage Jenst. RNAcentral's name for it is "Pistol ribozyme". It matches the Rfam family "Pistol ribozyme". Lineage: Duplodnaviria; Heunggongvirae; Uroviricota; Caudoviricetes. The record is from Rfam by way of RNAcentral.
UAGUGUUGCGGCACUUACAAGCCCAUUAAGCCGCAAGCGUUAGCCCUUCCGGGGCUAGGUUGGG